UACAGAGGUGGCAAGUGUUGUUCGGAUUUACUGGGCGUAAAGGGUCCGCAGGCGGCUUUGUGUGUCAGAUGUGAAAGCCCACGGCUUAACCGUGGAAAUGCAUUUGAAACUACAGAGCUAGAGUACGGGAGAGGAGAGGGGAAUUCAUGGUGUAGCGGUGAAAUGCGUAGAUAUCAUGAAGAACACCGGUGGCGAAAGCGCCUCUCUGGACCGAUACUGACGCUCAUGGACGAAAGCCAGGGGAGCAAAGAGG
This 253-nucleotide ribosomal RNA is filed under the name uncultured bacterium. Its description in RNAcentral is "partial 16S ribosomal RNA". It matches the Rfam family "Bacterial small subunit ribosomal RNA", at positions 524 to 776 of the family's 1533-position model. The record is from RNAcentral.